This 162-nucleotide non-coding RNA is filed under the name Kluyvera ascorbata. The record is from RNAcentral. Lineage: Bacteria; Pseudomonadati; Pseudomonadota; Gammaproteobacteria; Enterobacterales; Enterobacteriaceae.
ACCGGUCCUGUGAGUUAAAAGGGAAUCCAGUGUGAAUCUGGGGCUGACGCGCAGCGGUAAGGAAGGUGGGAAACGAAUGCACCCGAUGCAGACACUGCGGCUUGCCGUGGGAAGUCCUCGUUUUCCGAUGUCGCCUCCAAGCCCGAAGACCUGCCGGAUGAC